This 72-nucleotide transfer RNA is filed under the name Ovis aries (sheep). It matches the Rfam family "tRNA". From Rfam's summary of the family: Transfer RNA (tRNA) molecules are approximately 80 nucleotides in length. Their secondary structure includes four short double-helical elements and three loops (D, anti-codon, and T loops). The record is from Rfam by way of RNAcentral. Lineage: Eukaryota; Metazoa; Chordata; Mammalia; Artiodactyla; Bovidae.
UCCCUGGUGGUCCAGUGGUUAGGACCCCACACUUCCACUGCAGGGGCAUGGGUUCCAUCCCUGUUUGGGGAA